CAAGGUUUCUCUGCCUUAAGAGAAAGGGUUCUUAUUUCCAGGGCUGCCUACUCUGCUCCUUAAAUUGGAAGCGAUGUAAGAAAGCCAUAUUUGGUCAGGUGUAGGAUAUGCUGUCUGUGCUUGAAUGGGGUUCAUUAAGGUUGUCUCGAUUCCAGACUCGGCUCUACAAGGCCCAUCUCGAGUGGAUCCAGGCCUCGCAGUAUAUCAGACUUCAAGGUGCAAGGUGAAGAAACGAGUCACAGAGAGUGGGAACAUCUUGCCUAAGGGUAUGCAUACAGGAUCUGCCAGUAACAGAAAUCCAGAGGGUGGGCUUUAAACAAAGACACUCAGCUCCAGGCCUCUGCAAGACCCCAGAUGGUCAACGCUUUUUGCUUCAGUGCUGUGCCCUGACUGGCUAUACCAGUCCUGUGAGUGAAUUCAGUUCUCUCUUUCUUGAGUUGGGACUCAGAAGGGUCUAAGCUAGAUGCUCUCCAAUGGAAGUGAGGUGACAGUCCCUCUGGCUCCAGAGGGAAGAGGAAACAGGAAUAAAAGCCCAAUGAAAGAGGUCUUUCCCCUCGUUACAAUUAUCUUAGACUAGACAGGGGCCCAAGG
Long non-coding RNA from Bubalus bubalis (water buffalo), 591 nucleotides. RefSeq lists it as uncharacterized. The transcript has 3 exons. Lineage: Eukaryota; Metazoa; Chordata; Mammalia; Artiodactyla; Bovidae. The record is from RefSeq and is a predicted model, not a curated record.